Molecule: long non-coding RNA, 5011 nt
Filed under: Homo sapiens (human)
Lineage: Eukaryota; Metazoa; Chordata; Mammalia; Primates; Hominidae
Description: HSALNT0391107
Source: RNAcentral
CUCUGUUGCCCAGGCUGGAGUGCAGUGGUUGCAGUGAGCCAAGAUCGCACCACAGCACUCCAGCCUGGGCAACAGAGUGAGACCCUGUGUUAAGAAAAGAAAAGAGAAAAGAAGAAAAGAAAAGAAAAAGGAAAAGGAAGGAAGGAAGGAAAGAGAGAAAAGAAGAGAAACAGGUGAAAUGAAUUGGAAUAAUAUAUUUUAUUUAACCCAGCAUAUCCAAAAUCCUAUCAUUUUAACAAGUACAACUACCCUAUUUCCCUCAGAAUGUAGCAUUGCCUCUGGUUUGCUGUGGAUCCUGUAUUGGACCACUCAGCUGUAGAGUCCUGUGGGAUCCAAGCUUCAAGGAGACCCAUCAUGCAUGUUUAGGGCCAGUUCCAGGUGUCCUUGACAUGACACUAAACCUCCAUUUCCUUUGUUUUGGAGACGGAGUCUGGCUCUGUCGCCCAGGUUGGAGUGCCAUGGUACGACCUUGGCUCACUGCAACCUCCGCCUCCCGGAUUAAAGCGAUUCUCCUGCCUCAGCCUCUCAAGUAGCUGGCAUUAUAGGCGUGUGCCACCAUGCCCGGCUAAUUUUUGUAUUUUGUAGUAGAGACAGGGUUUUGCCAUGUUGGCCAGGCUGGUCUUCAACUCCUGACCUCAAGUGAUCCGCCCACCUCGGACUCCCAAAGUGCUGGGAUUACAGGCGUGAGCCACCUCGCCUGGCCCUCCAUUUCCUGAUCUAGUCUUAUAUCCACGCUCACCACCUCAGCACGCUCAGACCCACGCUGCUGUGGGCUCCUCUGGCUCCUGGAAGAGUGCGUCCGCAGAUGCUGCAGUCUUUGUGUGGCUCAGCAAUUGCCACUCACAUCAGGAACUGCCUUUACCCUGUCAGGCUCUACUGAGACCCGACCCUGGUUAUUAAGCUAUAGGGGAGACAAGGAUGGAUCUUAAAGAAGACAAGCAAAAUGUAGUGAAGCAAAUAGAAUGGUGGUUCCUGGGGGAUGGGGGCAGGGGACAACGAGGAGUGACUGGCUAACAGAUACAGCGUUUCAGUUUGGAAAGACAAAAAAGUUCUGGAAAAAAGAUGGAAGGUGGUGAUGGUUGCACAAUAAUAUGAGUUUUGUUGUUGUUGUUUUUUGAGACAGAGUCUCUCUCUGUUGCCCAGGCUGGAGUGCAGGGGCACGAUUUCGGCUCACUGCAACCUCUGCCUCCCGGGUUCAAGCGAUUCUUGUGCCUCAGCCUCCCAAGUAGCUGGGAUUACAGGCACCCACCACCAUGCCCAGCUAAUUUUUGUAUUUUUAGUAAAGAUGAGGUUUCACCAUGUUGGCCAGGCUGGUCUCAAACUCCUGACCUCAAAUGAUUGGCCUGCCUUGGCCUCCCAAAGUGCUGGGAUUACAGGCAUGAGCUAUUGCGCCCGGCAAUAUGAAUGAAUGUUUUUAAUACCAUUGAAUUACACACCUAAAAUUGGUUAAAAUGGUAAAAAAUUUUAUGUUAUGUAUAACUUACCACAAUAAUUUAAAAAAUAUUGUGAAGCGCCUGCCUCAUGUGAGGUCUUCUAAUAAGAGGGGCUGUUCUCCUUCUCAAGAGCGCUCGCGGGCAUUGGGAGUUUCUUAUUCUCAAAUGUCCACAUCCCAAGGCCUACCCCGUCCCUGUCAGUGUCAGAAGUUAGCAGAGCAGAACUGCUAGAUGUGCUCACUCCAUCUCCUCCAUGGUUGGCCCACCCUUUCGAUCAGAUCCUGGAAUUGGCUUUCAGCACAGCCUUCCAGCUGGCUGUGAUAAAUGAGAGUGGCUUAAACCCUGUCAUCAGGGUUUCACAGCUUGCCCUGAACCGUAGCCUCUCAUUUUCUCCUUGCAAAUCUUCUAAGGCAGCUAAGAGAAGCCAAUUAACUUCACAAUCCACAUAAUUAGCAUUGCCCCAAACCUUUCAAGUGCUGGAAUGCUGGCGUCCACUAGUGCCUCAUUUCUUUCUAAACCUCAUUCCACAUGGCAGGGGAAGGUCUUAGGAAUUGUGGAGCUGUGGCGUUCUAAGGGUUCUCACUGCCUACCUAUCACCAGCAAGGGAGUCCUUGUUGCCAUCCAUCCCUAGGGGGUAAUUUUGUUCCCUGAGGCUGCUUUCUAGGGACUUCUGGUCGCUUGUUUUAUCCUGGACCAGACCUGAAAGCAGAGCCUGAAAUAAGGCCUUCUAUGCACAUCAUUUAUGUAGGAGGUGGCCCUAGGAAGCAGGCCCAAUGCGCCAUGGGAAAAACCAGUACCAGGGUGUUUUGCUGAGUUGAGCACUGUGGUGGGCAGCUGGACAUGAGCCCACUGGAAUCUUCUGAAGAGCCCAAGAGCCUCUUCUCAGUAUUGUCCACUUGAGGAUUGAUAGUGAGAGGCAUUUAUCCACUGGUGUCCAACGCUCACUGGUUGAGGAUCACCCCAGAAAGCGACACCUCCCCCACUUCUAGACUAGCAUGUGGGUAUUCCAAGCAGGCUUACCUCAGUGUCUCACCCCAGGCACUGCAAACACCCCAGGACAGAAAGUGAACAUGUGUAUUGUGCAAUUGAAGCAAGACACUAUCAGUGCAAAGUGAGUAGACCCUCAGAUGCUGCUGGGUCAGAGGGAAGGCCCAGGGAUAUGACACAGGACACAGAGGUGGCAGAUACACCACCUCCCAACAUUUCCUCUAUCACAGCAACUAGAACAAUGGCAACAAUAGGGGUGGGUGUGGUGGCUCACGCCUAUAAUCCCAAUACCCUGGGAGGCCAAGGCAGAAGGAUUGCUUGAGCCCAGGAGUUCAAGACUAGCCUGGGCAACUUGGCGAAACCCUGUCUCUACAAACAUAUUUGUAUGUGAUUGAACAAGUAGAACAAUGGAACGGAAAGUCCAGAUGUAGUUCUAAAUAUGUACAGGAACUUAGUAUAGGAUAAAUAUGGCAUCUUAAAUCAAUGGGGAAAAGAUGGAUUAUUCAACAUAUUGUAAAAACUUGAGAAUCACAUUAAAAAAGUUGGACUCCUACCUCAUUCUUUACAACAAAAUUAAUUCUGAUAGAUGUAGUCACAGAAGAGCUAGAAGAAUAUGCAGGGGAUUUAAAAAUAAUCUUGAAGUGGGGAGGACUUUUAUAGGUAUGACUCACAACCCAGAAAACAUAAAGGAUUGUUAAAUUUAAUUAGAUAAAUCAUUUAAUUAGAUGAAACAUUUAAAAAUUACAUUUAGAAAUCAUAAACUAAAUCCAAAGAAUAACUAGGGGCCGGGCGCAGUGGCUCACGUCUGUAAUCCCAUGGGGCAGGUGGAUCACCUGAGGUUGGGAGUUUGAGACCAGCCUGUCCAACACGGUGAAACCCCGUCUCUACUAAAAAUACAAAAAUUAGUUGGUGUGGUGGCACAUACCUGUAGUCCCUGCUACUGGGGAGGCUGAGGCAUGAGAAUUGCUUGAACCUGGGAGGUGGAGGUUGCAGUGAGCCAAGAUCGCGCCACUGCAUUCCAGCCUGGGCGACAGAGCAAGACUCCAUCUCAAAAAAAAAAAAAAAAAAAAAAAAAAAAAAAAGAAUAACUAGGGAGAAAACACCAUGAUGUGUUGCAUAAUAACAUUUCAGUCAUUCAUGGACCAAAUAUAAAAUGGGGUCCCAAAAAACUAUAAUACCGUGUUUUUACUGUACCUUUUCUAUGUUUAGACACAUUUAGAUACACAAAUACUUACCAUUGUGCUACAAUUGCCUAGUGUUCAGUAGCAUGCUGUACAGGUUUAUCCCUAGGAAGAAUAGACUAUCCCACACACCCUAGGCGUGUAGCAGGCUAUGCCAUCUAGGUUUGUGUGAGUACACUCUAUGCUGUUCAAACAGUGACCUCCACUGUUAGGUGAAGCAUGACUGUAUUUUGAGCCCAGGUCUCAGAUAUUGUAUGAAGUUUCAUAAUAUUAUGAGCUUUUACAAAUCAUUAAGAGAAAGACCAAUAAUCCAGUAGAAAACUGGGAAAAGGUGGCAUCUGCAGGGUAACACCAGGGCAGCACAGAAAUCUUGCUGGGAUGAGGAGCUGCAAACAUGUGUGGUCGACUUUUUGGCCUUCUGCCUCUUCUACUCUCAGGGAUGGGGGAUUACAACUAAAGAAGUUGUCUUUUGGCCGGGCGUGGUGGCUCACGCCUGUAAUCCCAGCACUUUGGGAGGCCGAGGCGGGUGGAUCACAAGGUCAGGAGAUCAAGACCAUCCUGGCUAACACGAUGAAACCCCGUCUCUACUAAAAAAUUCAAAAACAUUGGCCGGGCGAGGUGGCGGGCACCUGUAGUCCCAGCUACUCGGGAGGCUGAGGCAGAAGAAUUGUGUGAACCCGGGAGGCGGAGCUUGCAGUGAGCCCAGAUCGCGCCACUGCACUCCAGCCUGGGCGACAGAGGAAGGCUCCGUCUCAAAAAAAAAAAAAAAAGAAGAAGUUAUCUUUUCUCAGUGUUGCUUCUCCCUAAGGAUUUAAAGGGGAGACCUGGCCAGAGGAAUCAUCAACAGUGGAUUUGUGAUGACUGGAGUUCAUUUCCUUCUUUCUCAACUGUCCUGGAAGGAAAUGGACUAGUGCCUUACCUCUGACUCUUCCGCAGCACACACCCACCACCAGAGACAGUAACUGAGAUCUGCAGUAGCACAGAAACUUACAGGUUAGAAAAAUUAGACACCUAAGGAUUUCAUGACUCCAGACCUGUUUCCUUAGCAUAAUACCACACCAGUAGGAGAAAUACAACUUACGAAAUUUCUUUGUAAAUAAAUUCUAUAACAUUUUGGGUAAAAAUUUAUCAUAAAAAAAUUAUUAAAAGCAAUUGGGUUGGAAGGAAGUUCUGUCAAAAUACAAUCCAGGUGUGCAGUUCUCUGAUAAAUUUAGCAGUGGUUACUACUGAGGCAGUCUCAAAAAAAAGUGUAAAAGGACUUUAAGGGGUGAUGAAAAUUUUCUACAUUGCCUUUGUGGAGAUGGUUAUACAUUUGUCAAUACUCAUCAAUUUGUACAUUUAAAAGAGGUAAAUUUAUUGUAUGUAAAUUGUAUCUUAAUAAAACUGAUUAAAACAGACAUACAAACCCCA